Molecule: unclassified non-coding RNA, 289 nt
Filed under: fungal sp.
Lineage: Eukaryota; Fungi
Description: partial internal transcribed spacer region
Rfam family: Eukaryotic small subunit ribosomal RNA (bases 1-46)
Source: RNAcentral
AAGUCGUAACAAGGUAACCGUAGGUGAACCUGCGGUUGGAUCAUUAGUAAUAAUGAUGACAUAUCAAUGCUAGUGCUUCACGGCGCUAACAUUGAGAGUCACUUACCACUGUGCACUGUUUAUGUAUCGGGCCUUUGUGAAGCAGUCUAGAGAGGGUAACUCCUCUCCAAGGCUGGGAAUCGAGGGCCCACAAUAGCGGCUCUGCCGUGCAAACCAAACUACUGUUUUUUGACUGACUUUGUUUCUUAGAAACCCAUUACAACUGUUAACAAUGGAUCUCUAGGCUCAC